CUACCCUUGACAUGUCAGGAAGUCCGCUGAGAGGUGGAUGUGCCCGAAAGGGAACCUGAACACAGGUGCUGCAUGGCUGUCGUCAGCUCGUGUCGUGAGAUGUUGGGUUAAGUCCCGCAACGAGCGCAACCCUUGUCAUUAGUUGCUACAUUUAGUUGGGCACUCUAAUGAGACUGCCGGUGACAAACCGGAGGAAGGUGGGGAUGACGUCAAGUCCUCAUGGCCCUUAUGGGUAGGGCCUCACACGUCAUACAAUGGCGGAUACAGAGGGUUGCCAACCCGCGAGGGGGAGCCAAUCCCAGAAAGUCCGUCGUAGUCCGGAUCGGAGUCUGCAACUCGACUCCGUGAAGUCGGAAUCGCUAGUAAUCGCGGAUCAGCAUGUCGCGGUGAAUACGUUCCC
This 400-nucleotide ribosomal RNA is filed under the name uncultured bacterium. Its description in RNAcentral is "bacterial SSU rRNA". It matches the Rfam family "Bacterial small subunit ribosomal RNA", at positions 975 to 1375 of the family's 1533-position model. The record is from RNAcentral.